UACGUAGGCGGGCAAUUAAGUCAGAGGUGAAAUCCCACAGCUCAACUGUGGAACUGCCUUUGAUACUGGUUGUCUUGAGUUACAGUGAAGUAGAUAGAAUAUGUAGUGUAGCGGUGAAAUGCAUAGAUAUUACAUAGAAUACCGAUUGCGAAGGCAGUCUACUAACUGUAUACUGACGCUAAUGGACGAAAGCGUGGGGAGCGAACAGGAUUAGAUACCCUGGUAGUCC
This 229-nucleotide ribosomal RNA is filed under the name uncultured bacterium. RNAcentral's name for it is "partial 16S ribosomal RNA". It matches the Rfam family "Bacterial small subunit ribosomal RNA", at positions 568 to 796 of the family's 1533-position model. The record is from RNAcentral.